RNAcentral lists this ribosomal RNA (294 nucleotides) under Copepoda environmental sample. RNAcentral describes it as "partial 18S ribosomal RNA". It matches the Rfam family "Eukaryotic small subunit ribosomal RNA", at positions 39 to 329 of the family's 1831-position model. Lineage: Eukaryota; Metazoa; Arthropoda; Copepoda. The record is from RNAcentral.
AAAGAUUAAGCCAUGCACGUGUAAGUAAAAGCUUAGCUAAGGUGAAACCGCGAAUGGCUCAUUAAAUCACACCUAAUCUACUGGAAAGUUAAACAGUUACUUGGAUAACUGAGCUAAUUGUUGAGCUAAUACAUGCGAAAAUCCCCGACGCAAGGAGGGGAGCUUUUAUUAGAUCAAAACCAGACGGCUUUCGGGCCGAAUCUCUCUGGCGACUCUGAAUAACUUUGGGCUGAUCGUAUUGCCUUGUGCAGACGACGUUUCCUCCGAAGGUGUGCCCUAUCAACUGUCGACUGU